RNAcentral lists this ribosomal RNA (232 nucleotides) under uncultured bacterium. RNAcentral's name for it is "partial 16S ribosomal RNA". It matches the Rfam family "Bacterial small subunit ribosomal RNA", at positions 99 to 334 of the family's 1533-position model. The record is from RNAcentral.
CGGACGGGUGAGUAAUGUCUGGGAAACUGCCUGAUGGAGGGGGGUAACUACUGGAAACGGUAGCUAAUACCGCAUAACGUCGCAAGACCAAAGAGGGGGACCUUAGGGCCUCUUGCCAUCGGAUGUGCCCAGAUGGGAUUGGCUAGUAGGUGGGGUAACGGCUCACCUAGGCGACGAUCCCUAGCUGGUCUGAGAGGAUGACCAGCCACACUGGAACUGAGACACGGUCCAG